GUCUAUGAUUAUGCUACCCUGAACAAGCCCAAUCCCAUCUGAUAUCUGAAGCUAAGCAGAGUCGGGCCUGGUUAGUACUUGGAUGGGAGAUCAGGUGCUGUAAGCA
Molecule: ribosomal RNA, 106 nt
Filed under: Pteropus alecto (black flying fox)
Lineage: Eukaryota; Metazoa; Chordata; Mammalia; Chiroptera; Pteropodidae
Also listed under: 1 other name
Source: RNAcentral